GACUUAUCAUAUCGGGGAUCAACUUCAAAUCUUGGAAAUUUCGCCGGAGAAGAAAGCCACAGGAUGCGAAACAUAGGAAUUCAAAUCCGGCGUUACUAUCUUUCGUUGUAAUUUUUGUCUCGCCUGCGUCGAAGGUAGCGGAAUGCUAGACUAAGGAAUUGCUUUUCAGGCGACGACAAUUGUUCAGUUUUCUGCUUAAGUUAAGUUUGAUAGGAACUACUUGUGAUAGAUGAUUGUUAUUUGAUAUAAAGUUGCAUUACAAUCAG
Long non-coding RNA from Mytilus californianus (California mussel), 266 nucleotides. RefSeq lists it as uncharacterized. NCBI's taxonomy places the organism in Eukaryota, Metazoa, Mollusca, Bivalvia, Mytilida, Mytilidae. The transcript has 2 exons. The record is from RefSeq and is a predicted model, not a curated record.